This 429-nucleotide ribosomal RNA is filed under the name Chloroflexota bacterium. Its description in RNAcentral is "Chloroflexi bacterium partial 16S ribosomal RNA". It matches the Rfam family "Bacterial small subunit ribosomal RNA", at positions 355 to 776 of the family's 1533-position model. Lineage: Bacteria; Bacillati; Chloroflexota. The record is from RNAcentral.
UGGGGAAUAUUGCACAAUGGGCGCAAGCCUGAUGCAGCCAUGCCGCGUGUAUGAAGAAGGCCUUCGGGUUGUAAAGUACUUUCAGUCGGGAGGAAGGUGGUAAGGUUAAUAACCUUAUCAAUUGACGUUACCGACAGAAGAAGCACCGGCUAACUCCGUGCCAGCAGCCGCGGUAAUACGGAGGGUGCAAGCGUUAAUCGGAAUUACUGGGCGUAAAGCGCACGCAGGCGGUUGAUUGAGUCAGAUGUGGAAUCCCCGGGCUUAACCCGGGAAUUGCAUCUGAUACUGGUCAGCUAGAGUCUUGUAGAGGGGGGUAGAAUUCCAUGUGUAGCGGUGAAAUGCGUAGAGAUGUGGAGGAAUACCGGUGGCGAAGGCGGCCCCCUGGACAAAGACUGACGCUCAGGUGCGAAAGCGUGGGGAGCAAACAGG